GAUGAACGCUGGCGGCGUGCCUAAUACAUGCAAGUCGAGCGAACGGACGAGAAGCUUGCUUCUCUGAUGUUAGCGGCGGACGGGUGAGUAACACGUGGAUAACCUACCUAUAAGACUGGGAUAACUUCGGGAAACCGGAGCUAAUACCGGAUAAUAUUUUGAACCGCAUGGUUCAAAAGUGAAAGACGGUCUUGCUGUCACUUAUAGAUGGAUCCGCGCUGCAUUAGCUAGUUGGUAAGGUAACGGCUUACCAAGGCAACGAUGCAUAGCCGACCUGAGAGGGGGAUCGGCCACACUGGAACUGAGACACGGUCCAGACUCCUACGGGAGGCAGCAGUAGGGAAUCUUCCGCAAUGGGCGAAAGCCUGACGGAGCAACGCCGCGUGAGUGAUGAAGGUCUGCGGAUCGUAAAACUCUGUUAUUAGGGAAGAACAUAUGUGUAAGUAACGGUGCACAUCUUGACGGUACCUAAGCAGAAAGCCACGGCUAACUACGU
RNAcentral lists this ribosomal RNA (496 nucleotides) under uncultured bacterium. Its description in RNAcentral is "partial 16S ribosomal RNA". It matches the Rfam family "Bacterial small subunit ribosomal RNA", at positions 28 to 506 of the family's 1533-position model. The record is from RNAcentral.